CCGAGUGAGGGCCCGCGGCCCGACCUCCAACCCUUUUGUUUGACCACUUGUUGCCUCGGGGGCGGCCCGGACGCCGACGCGUCGGCACCCCCGACGGACCCAACCGCAACUCUUAUGUCGAUGCGUCGGAGUACUUUGCGAAUCAAUCA
This 149-nucleotide unclassified non-coding RNA is filed under the name uncultured Capnodiales. RNAcentral's name for it is "sequence contains ITS1". The record is from RNAcentral. Lineage: Eukaryota; Fungi; Ascomycota; Dothideomycetes; Capnodiales.